Molecule: ribosomal RNA, 437 nt
Filed under: uncultured bacterium
Lineage: Bacteria
Description: partial 16S ribosomal RNA
Rfam family: Bacterial small subunit ribosomal RNA
Source: RNAcentral
AGCGAACGCUGGCGGCAGGCUUAACACAUGCAAGUCGAGCGGGCAUCCUUGUGGUGUCAGCGGCAGACGGGUGAGUAACGCGUGGGAACGUGCCCUUCGGUUCGGAAUAACCCAGGGAAACUUGAGCUAAUACCGGAUACGUUCGAGAGCAGAAAGUUUUACUUGCCGAAGGAUCGGCCCGCGUCUGAUUAGCUAGUUGGUGAGGUUAUGGCUCACCAAGGCGACGAUCAGUAGCUGGUCUGAGAGGAUGAUCAGCCACACUGGGACUGAGACACGGCCCAGACUCCUACGGGAGGCAGCAGUGGGGAAUAUUGGACAAUGGGGGCAACCCUGAUCCAGCCAUGCCGCGUGAGUGAUGACGGCCUUAGGGUUGUAAAGCUCUUUUCUCCGGGACGAUAAUGACGGUACCGGAGGAAUAAGCCCCGGCUAACUUCGUG